This 534-nucleotide long non-coding RNA is filed under the name Phoenix dactylifera (date palm). RNAcentral's name for it is "long non-coding RNA (PDAC_LNC022325)". The record is from RNAcentral. Lineage: Eukaryota; Viridiplantae; Streptophyta; Magnoliopsida; Arecales; Arecaceae.
CCUCUUGAAUAAUAUUCAUUUUCUUUUCUUUAUCUCUCUCUCUUUUUGUUAUUCUCAAGUAAUUUACAUGAAAGAGCAGAAUGAGGAAUUAAUCUUGUGUAUCAUACAAACAACAUUUUCAUUAUGUUCAUGGAUUCAUAAUUUCACACAAGUUAUUUUAGAUCAAAAUUUUAAGCAUAAACUUGUGUAUUUCAUGGUUAUGACAUAUGCAAAGAUAUAUUCUAGUUUGGGCAAACCAUGAAACAAUCUCUAAAAGUAUAAGUCAAUCAAUUAUAGACAUGAUAUCAAAAAUUAAUAAUUAAAGGCCUCAAUCAUGCCAUAAUAAGAUUUAAGUUAUUGACUUUGCUCAAUUAAUUUAUGAGAGAAGUAUCUAGAAUUACCAUUUCAUUCUGCAUUCUUCAGUCAAAUACCUACUAGAUUUCUUAUGUAUGAACUUUUGGCUGAGGAAGGUCCUCUCUCUUGUUUGCAUGUGAAUGUUUAUUGUACCUUAUAUGGAGAUAUCCUUCAAGUUGAGAUCUCUCAUUUUUCUUGCUC